This is a long non-coding RNA of Triticum aestivum (bread wheat), 467 nucleotides long. RefSeq lists it as uncharacterized. Lineage: Eukaryota; Viridiplantae; Streptophyta; Magnoliopsida; Poales; Poaceae. The transcript has 2 exons. The record is from RefSeq and is a predicted model, not a curated record.
CUUGUCAAUCGCCCGCAUCUGGCCUAACCCAUCUCGCACGAGGACCUGGAGACGGCGGCGCAGGAGCGAGGACCGGGCGACGCCACCAGCGCGAGGACCUAGAGGCGACGCCGCCGGCGCGAGCUCAUGGAGGCGAAGCCCCGUCUUUGGUUGGUCGCUGUGGCCGCUCCCUCACGGCCCCGCCGACACCGGCGCGAGGCCCUGACGACGCUGACCCGAGAUGGAGGCCCCGCCUGCGCUUGGCCGUAGUGGUGUACCAACGCAGCAAGGUGGAGAAUACAAAUCAGAGGGCCAUCAAGUUCCCUACGUCCACACGACCUGACUCGCCCGCACUCGCCGCCGCCGCCUCCUCGUGUGCGCGGUAGACACAGUCAGCUCGAACGCCACCGCCCUCCUGUCCAACAAAAAUUUCAUAACAGUAUACUUUCACAUGUGGUCUACAAAUCUAAAAUGGGCCUGGUUUUUUU